This 253-nucleotide ribosomal RNA is filed under the name uncultured bacterium. RNAcentral describes it as "partial 16S ribosomal RNA". It matches the Rfam family "Bacterial small subunit ribosomal RNA", at positions 524 to 776 of the family's 1533-position model. The record is from RNAcentral.
UACGAAGGGGGCUAGCGUUGUUCGGAAUUACUGGGCGUAAAGCGCGCGCAGGCGGCCUUUCAAGUCAGGGGUGAAAGCCCGGAGCUCAACUCCGGAACUGCCUUUGAAACUGUCAGGCUCGAGUACGGGAGAGGUGAGUGGAAUUCCCAGUGUAGAGGUGAAAUUCGUAGAUAUUGGGAAGAACACCGGUGGCGAAGGCGGCUCACUGGCCCGUUUCUGACGCUCAGGCGCGACAGCGUGGGGAUCAAACAGG